This 731-nucleotide ribosomal RNA is filed under the name uncultured bacterium. Its description in RNAcentral is "bacterial SSU rRNA". It matches the Rfam family "Bacterial small subunit ribosomal RNA", at positions 34 to 760 of the family's 1533-position model. The record is from RNAcentral.
CGCUGGCGGCAGGCCUAACACAUGCAAGUCGAGCGGUAGAGAGAAGCUUGCUUCUCUUGAGAGCGGCGGACGGGUGAGUAAUGCCUAGGAAUCUGCCUGGUAGUGGGGGAUAACGUUCGGAAACGGACGCUAAUACCGCAUACGUCCUACGGGAGAAAGCAGGGGACCUUCGGGCCUUGCGCUAUCAGAUGAGCCUAGGUCGGAUUAGCUAGUUGGUGAGGUAAUGGCUCACCAAGGCGACGAUCCGUAACUGGUCUGAGAGGAUGAUCAGACACACUGGAACUGAGACACGGUCCAGACUCCUACGGGAGGCAGCAGUGGGGAAUAUUGGACAAUGGGCGAAAGCCUGAUCCAGCCAUGCCGCGUGUGUGAAGAAGGUCUUCGGAUUGUAAAGCACUUUAAGUUGGGAGGAAGGGUUGUAGAUUAAUACUCUGCAAUUUUGACGUUACCGACAGAAUAAGCACCGGCUAACUCUGUGCCAGCAGCCGCGGUAAUACAGAGGGUGCAAGCGUUAAUCGGAAUUACUGGGCGUAAAGCGCGCGUAGGUGGUUUGUUAAGUUGGAUGUGAAAUCCCCGGGCUCAACCUGGGAACUGCAUUCAAAACUGACUGACUAGAGUAUGGUAGAGGGUGGUGGAAUUUCCUGUGUAGCGGUGAAAUGCGUAGAUAUAGGAAGGAACACCAGUGGCGAAGGCGACCACCUGGACUAAUACUGACACUGAGGUGCGAAAGC